AAUACAUGCAAGUCGAACGCAUUGUGGUUGAAAUGAUAUGAAGAACUUGUUCAGAUUUGAUUUUCAACAUUGCAAUGAGUGGCGAACGGGUGAGUAACACGUGGGAAACCUACCUCUUAGCAGGGGAUAACAUUUGGAAACAAAUGCUAAUACCGUAUAAUAAUUAAAACCGCAUGGUUUUAGUUUAAAGAUGGUCUUGCUAUCACUAAGAGAUGGUCCCGCGGUGUAUUAGUUAGUUGGUGAGGUAAUGGCUCACCAAGACAAUGAUACAUAGCCGAGUUGAGAGACUGACCGGCCACAAUGGGACUGAGACACGGCCCAUACUCCUACGGGAGGCAGCAGUAGGGAACCUUCCACAAUGGACGAAAGUCUGAUGGAGCAACGCCGCGUGUGUGAUGAAGGGUUUCGGCUCGUAAAACACUGUUGUAAGAGAAGAAUGACAUUGAGAGUAACUGUUCAAUGUGUGACGGUAUCUUACCAGAAAGGAACGGCUAAAUACGUG
This 502-nucleotide ribosomal RNA is filed under the name uncultured bacterium. RNAcentral's name for it is "bacterial SSU rRNA". It matches the Rfam family "Bacterial small subunit ribosomal RNA", at positions 50 to 507 of the family's 1533-position model. The record is from RNAcentral.